UGCGUAGGCGGUUUGUUAAGUCUGUCGUGAAAGCCCCGGGCUCAACCUGGGAAUGGCGAUGGAUACUGGCGAGCUAGAGUACGGUAGAGGAGAGUGGAAUUCCCGGUGUAGCAGUGAAAUGCGUAGAGAUCGGGAGGAACAUCAGUUGCGAAGGCGGCUCUCUGGACCAGUACUGACGCUGAGGCAAGACGUGGGGAGGCAACA
RNAcentral lists this ribosomal RNA (204 nucleotides) under uncultured bacterium. RNAcentral describes it as "partial 16S ribosomal RNA". It matches the Rfam family "Bacterial small subunit ribosomal RNA", at positions 568 to 774 of the family's 1533-position model. The record is from RNAcentral.